CGGAUGAACGCUAGCGGCAGGCCUAAUACAUGCAAGUCGAACGGAGUAGCAAUACUUAGUGGCAAACGGGUGCGUAACGCGUAAACAACCUGCCCUCGUGUGGGGGAUAGCCGGGCUAACGCCCGGGUAAUACCGCAUACGUUCCUCUGGGGGAGUCCCUGGGGGAGGAAAGCUCCGGCGCACGGGGGAGGGGUUCGCGGCCUAUCAGCUAGUUGGGGGGGUAAUGGCCCACCAAGGCGACGACGGGUAGCU
RNAcentral lists this ribosomal RNA (252 nucleotides) under uncultured bacterium. RNAcentral describes it as "partial small subunit ribosomal RNA". It matches the Rfam family "Bacterial small subunit ribosomal RNA", at positions 27 to 288 of the family's 1533-position model. The record is from RNAcentral.